This 28-nucleotide non-coding RNA is filed under the name Xenopus tropicalis (tropical clawed frog). RNAcentral also lists the same sequence under 6 other names. Lineage: Eukaryota; Metazoa; Chordata; Amphibia; Anura; Pipidae. The record is from RNAcentral.
GGCUAAGAUCAAGUGUAGUAUCUGUUCU